Molecule: non-coding RNA, 27 nt
Filed under: Mus musculus (house mouse)
Lineage: Eukaryota; Metazoa; Chordata; Mammalia; Rodentia; Muridae
Source: RNAcentral
CCAAAAGCUACAACCGGAGUUUCCCGG